UGGGGCUCGAACUCACGGAGUGCAAGAUCAUGACCUGAGCCAAAGUCAGCGGCUUAACUGACUGAGCCACCCAGGCACCCCUCCCACCUAAAAUCUUUUUAGUGUAUUCCCAGUUCAACUUCCCCUCAACCAAGUAUCAAAAAUGCUCUGAGCUGUUGUAAUGUCACUCAACAUGAGCUGAAGUUUUCUGAAGGGUGUGUCAGGGAGGAAAUAGACAGUGAGUGGUCUCAACUCAUUCCUGUUUACAUACAUUAGUUUUGCAAAUUUUAUAAAGACAUAUAAUCAUGUGAACACACUGCUAGGGCUCUUUCCAGACCUUUUGAAGACACCUGUGCAAAUGAAGGGGUCUUGAUGCUUAAAGUCCAUUAGCUUCAGAGUAAGUUGGUGAGAAGAGACAAGAGCAGGAGAGUGUGUCCCCAAAAAUGUGGGAAAUAAAGAGGAAUGUCCCCUGUCAUGUGCACUGUCAACACUAGCUUCUUGGAGUUUCCUUCCUGUUUUCUUUUCCUGUCAGGGCAAGAAAAACCUGCAGUGAGAGGCUGUCCACACGAGAGCAGUGACUCUCAGAUAUUACCACAGCAGCAAAGGUGAAAACCAACAGAUUUGGAGUACACUUUCAUCAAACCUGAGGUCUGGAGGAACAGCAGGUGCCUGCAUGUUGUCUGUGGAUUCUUCAGCAGAAAAGACAUCUGUUCAUUGCCCAAGAUUUUGCUGACUGUCAUCCAAAGCAAUCCCAUUAUGAACAGGUCAUCCAAUUUUUAAUGGCUGGGACAUUUUGUGAACACUGAAAACAGCAAAACCACAUACCACUUUCCCAAUGGCCCUCUCUAACAUAGUACCAAACACUUUGAUCUCCAUCUUCUUAUCAAGGAAGAGCUGGAAUUUGCCUUCAUCUUGGACACUCCUGAAGGCUGAUAAAGAGUGCAUGGAGCUUUGUAAAGAAAAGAGAACCAGGCAUUCCAAAGUGCCCAGAUGGCAAUCAAAGAAUAUAGGUCAAUUGCUACACAUGUCCACUGGCAAGAAUAUGACCCUAUUGGGGACCAGGAGCUCAAACUGCACAGAAUCCAGAGUUGUGGGAAGACCAGCAGGCUGGAGACUCAGAGAAAAGUUGAUGGUGCAGUGUUGAGUCCAAAGACUGUCUAUAGGAAGAAUUCUAUAAACACUGAAGAAGACUUCAGUGUUUUCUCUUGAUGCCUUCUGCUGAAUGGAUGAGGCCCAUCAACAUUAAGGAAGAAAUAUUGGCCUGAUCUGUGCCUUCGUCUUCACAUGACAGUUUCCCUGUGUGCAUUUCUGUCUCCAGUUUUCCCCUUUUAUGAGGACACCAAUCAUAUUGGAUCAGGGGCCUACUGCACUGCGAUAUGACAUCAUCUUACCAUUACAUCUGCAAUAACCCUGUCUCCAAAUAAGGUUACAUUCUGAAGGACACUUAGGUAUCAAAGGCGUUGCAGAAAGCACUGUACUUCACUAUCUCAAUGUAUCUUAAGACUUCAAAAGAUACAAGGUUUCCCUCCAUCAAGGUUAAGUACAUCUCGAAGUCUCCAUGUUCAGUGACUUGGAACAGCAAACUAGAAAUACCGUACUCUGUACCAAGACUGCCUCUCAACAAAGAAUGGUGUGUAUGAGCAGCCCGUUUCCAGAUGCAUCCUAGAUGUGAGACUCUGUCUAGGUCAAGCAUAAUGAUUCUGAUGAAAAGUGAAGGAUUCUACUGUAUGUAAUUGGACUUUGACAGAACAGUUUUGCAUAAAGAGAAGGUUAUUAUUGAAACUUGGCCAUGACAAAGAAACUGGUACAGCUUACUUUUGUCAUCUAGUCUUAAAUUCAUCAACCUUGGUUUAAGAACGGUUUUGAUACCACAGUGAAGAAGAAAAGAUUUCUAGUUUGAGGUCAUUAGACAUGAACCGUUUGAACGAAAGAAAAAUGAGUCGUCUAAAAUGGCUACAGCGGAGGAUAUUGUUUGUAUCAGCAUGGAACAGAAUGAGCCGCCUCAGAAAACUACAAGAAUCCCAAUUAGACAAAUUUUUCCUCUGGAUGGAAACUGGUAACAAAGAUAAAGGAGUCCAAUAACGAACUCUUUAUUUUUCUUUCUCUUGACACACCCCCUCUUUUGUAUCAGGCACUAAAAAACAUGCCUGCCCUAAAAUCUUGAAUAUUGAGCACUUUGAUGUUUCCUCCCUUUUUUCUAAGAAUUUAACAUUUCCCAGAAUUUUGUAGCACUGAUAACUAUCACUCCUGUCCCCUGAUAAUCUCAGUUCCAUGCAACUUGUAAAAGGCAGUCUGACCCUGAGACUUCAUAGUGGGUGGCAGAUGGCUUUCGUGAAUGCCUAUUUCUGCUAUUAAAAUAAAAUGACAGGAAACACCACAGAAGUUUCUUUUAUUUGAAAAAAAAAAUGAGGGUUGUCAUAUGAUGUGAAAUACAAAUCUAAGGGCUUUGGCAGUCACUAACCUCACGUAGCAUGGUUAUCACUGGAAGGUAAAUGUAACAUCCACCUUCAGGUCUCCGUGAAAGAUGCAUUGUGCGAAAGGCAAGAGAGUGCUUUCUGGCCCAGUACUUACACGUGUAGCAAUUUAUUAUAUGAAAAUGCAGAGUGCAACUCAGACAACUUGUGAGCACUUAUUGAAGUUGCCAGGCAAAAAUAUUUUCCUCCAUGCUACAUUAGCAUUUUCUGGUUUAGACCAGCUGAUCUUUUUGAAUUGGGCUGCAUGAAUCAUCACAUCCAGUAUGUAAAUUUCAUACGUAUAUUUAAAUAUUUUUCCUUUCAAAUUGGAAACAGAAUUCAUAUUAUAGCCAAUAUAGUCUGGAAAAAAAAAUAAAGAGUCAGGUUGCUGUCCCCUCCACACAUCUAAAAAUUCUAAGAGUCUACAAGCUUAAUGUGGAGAGCAUCAGGGAUGUUUUCAAUAGUCAAGAGUGUCACUCAUUCUACUUUUUCAAAGUUCUUAGUUCCCAUUAAUAAUUUUAUAUACCAUAAUCAUUCACCUUGAACAUUUGCUAAUAUGUUUAAAAUGCCAUUCUCUACUUAAUUGUUUCCAACAAGCGCUUUUAUUGAACAUCCACCAGGCAAAAAUGUACCAUUUCGAGUGUUCUGGAACCUCCUGCUUUCGUUUAUUAAUAACUCCCAAACAGAAUGUCUGCUUUAGACAUUAGUUUCCGAAAUAGAAUCGAAUCUUAAUUAGUUCAAGAGAAACUCUACUUAAGUAGUCUUAGAGAAAAUGCGCUAAUUUCCCCUCUAAUAUAUCCUCCUGUUGUUUGACUGUGAUGAGAAUGGUCUUUUAAAAGAGGCCUCAGGUGUGAAACCAACUGUUCAGGCUCAUUGUCAGCUGCUGGUUUCUAGAGUAUUAAUUCAAAAUUAGUGAAAAUAUAAGACUAUGUCUACAUUGGCCAACUCUAUUGCAAAAUUGAGCAAUUUUCAGUCAAGGGUGCAGCAUCCUCUACAAUGCCCUUGAGGAAGAUUCAGAAGCUCAUUCUAUUUCCAUCUGCUUCCAUCAUUAGAGAAUGCAGUUGAUUGAUUCAACCUCACUAACAAUAAGAACGGAUGCUGUUUAACUAAAAGGUGCCAUUCUAGAAUUUCAUGGAUUCACCUGUUGUCCCCUAGUAGGUCUAUGAUAAUCUGAGAAAGCAGCUAGACCGGACCCUUGCAAGAGGGUUUGUGUCCUACAUGUUGAAGACUGAAGAGGACUCUGUUAAGAAUGCCAGCUCCCAAGUAAAAUAUGGGCAAAAUUGGUUGGAGUUGAAGUCUUCCUUGUAAAGAGGUGCUGCACAUUUGAGAAGUCAGCACCACACAGAUCCUCAGACCAGGCUACCUUCAUCGAUUAUGCAAUCCGUAACUCUGCCUCAAAUAAAAUCAACAGGAAUUUCUUUUAGGCUUUAUAAAUAACUGAAAACAAAGCUUAAACUUAGCCUUGGAUGAUGAAACUAUUUUUUUUCUAAAAGCUUCUUUGUGGCUACACACACACACACACACACAUUAUAAAAAAUGGAAGAAAAAAGUUGUUUUAUAUUUCUGCUUACACAGAAAUCAUAUUAUUGUACAGAGUAAAACAGUAAACUUAACUUUGGGGCUCAAUUGAGACUUGCUUAAUUGAUUGUUCAGAAUACAGAUAUUCAAGAAUAUUACAGAAAGUUUCAUUAUAAUUUACUAAUCAAAAUACUAUUUUUUGGUCAUUUUUGUUUGUUUGUUUGUUUUGGCCAAAUACAAAAUGGCCAUUAUUCUAGUACAAAAGGAAAUGUUUGGGGGAGUUUACUGAACACAAAAAAAUCAAGUGAUUACUAGAGUUAUUUGAGCUUAUAGCUGUCCUUCAGUUGAGAUUUCCAGAAAUAUCUGCCAUAAAUUUUAUUCUGCGUUUUAGAUUAAGAAGGUAGUGUUUAUUUCUGAUAGGGUCAAUGUAUUUGCAGAAAAGGAAAGAAAAUCUCUAUAUAACACUUAGGUUAAGUUUGCUAUUUUGAGCAAUAAAUGUCGAUGUUAUAAUAACAUAAUUUUUCUCCAUAAUACUAACCUUUUGAGAAAAGAAAAGCCUUCUUGUUGUUAAGCUGAUCAGUUCUGUCUGGGUAAACAGGACUUAAUCAUGUAGCAAUUACUUGUUUCAGGAAGACUCUCUGUUAUUUGUGUUGUGUUAAUCCACAUCAAAAUAAAAUAGCCUUGGAUAGGUAA
Long non-coding RNA from Herpailurus yagouaroundi (jaguarundi), 4643 nucleotides. RefSeq lists it as uncharacterized. Lineage: Eukaryota; Metazoa; Chordata; Mammalia; Carnivora; Felidae. The record is from RefSeq and is a predicted model, not a curated record. The transcript has 11 exons.